This 275-nucleotide ribosomal RNA is filed under the name Escherichia coli. RNAcentral's name for it is "partial 23S ribosomal RNA". It matches the Rfam family "Bacterial large subunit ribosomal RNA", at positions 1 to 267 of the family's 2925-position model. Lineage: Bacteria; Pseudomonadati; Pseudomonadota; Gammaproteobacteria; Enterobacterales; Enterobacteriaceae. RNAcentral also lists the same sequence under 1 other name. The record is from RNAcentral.
GGGUUGUGAGGUUAAGCGACUAAGCGUACACGGUGGAUGCCCUGGCAGUCAGAGGCGAUGAAGGACGUGCUAAUCUGCGAUAAGCGUCGGUAAGGUGAUAUGAACCGUUAUAACCGGCGAUUUCCGAAUGGGGAAACCCAGUGUGAUUCGUCACACUAUCAUUAACUGAAUCCAUAGGUUAAUGAGGCGAACCGGGGGAACUGAAACAUCUAAGUACCCCGAGGAAAAGAAAUCAACCGAGAUUCCCCCAGUAGCGGCGAGCGAACGGGGAGCAG